Molecule: ribosomal RNA, 367 nt
Filed under: uncultured bacterium
Lineage: Bacteria
Description: bacterial SSU rRNA
Rfam family: Bacterial small subunit ribosomal RNA
Source: RNAcentral
AUUGAACGCUGGCGGCAUGCCUUACACAUGCAAGUCGAACGGCAGCGCGGGGCAACCUGGCGGCGAGUGGCGAACGGGUGAGUAAUAUAUCGGAACAUACCCUAGAGUGGGGGAUAACGUAGCGAAAGUUACGCUAAUACCGCAUACGCACUAAGGUGGAAAGUGGGGGAUCUUCGGACCUCAUGCUCAUGGAGUGGCCGAUAUCUGAUUAGCUAGUUGGUGAGGUAAAGGCUCACCAAGGCAACGAUCAGUAGCUGGUUUGAGAGAACGACCAGCCACACUGGAACUGAGACACGGUCCAGACUCCUACGGGAGGCAGCAGUGGGGGAAUUUUGGGACAAUGGGGGGCAACCCUGAUCCAGCAAUG